CCCUUAGAUGAUUUGGGCUGCACGCGCGCUACACUGACCCUAACAAUGAGCAACUGUCUGGCCUGAGAUGGCUGGGUAGCCUUUUCAACCCAUGUCAUGAUUGGGCUAGAUUUUUGUAAGUCUUGAUCUCUAACGAGGAAUCCCUAGUAUGCGUGAAUCAUCAAUCCAUGCAGAUUAUGUCCCUGCCCUUUGUACACACCGCCCGUCGCUCCUACUGAUUGGGUGAUCCGGGGAGCUGUUCGGCCAUAGCAAUGUUUCUUGAGCAGGGCAAUGAAUGUUUCGCAAACCUUGCCACUUAGAGGAAGGAGAAGUCGUAACA
Molecule: ribosomal RNA, 319 nt
Filed under: uncultured eukaryote
Lineage: Eukaryota
Description: partial 18S ribosomal RNA
Rfam family: Eukaryotic small subunit ribosomal RNA
Source: RNAcentral